Molecule: ribosomal RNA, 778 nt
Filed under: uncultured bacterium
Lineage: Bacteria
Description: bacterial SSU rRNA
Rfam family: Bacterial small subunit ribosomal RNA
Source: RNAcentral
GUAUGCUUUGGAAACUGUUAGACUUGAGUGCAGAAGGGGAGAGUGGAAUUCCAUGUGUAGCGGUGAAAUGCGUAGAUAUAUGGAGGAACACCGGUGGCGAAAGCGGCUCUCUGGUCUGUCACUGACGCUGAGGCUCGAAAGCGUGGGUAGCGAACAGGAUUAGAUACCCUGGUAGUCCACGCCGUAAACGCUGAGUGCUAGGUGUUAGGUCCUUUCCGGGACUUAGUGCCGACGCUAACGCAUUAAGCACUCCGCCUGGGGAGUACGACCGCAAGGUUGAAACUCAAAGGAAUUGACGGGGGCCCGCACAAGCGGUGGAGCAUGUGGUUUAAUUCGAAGCAACGCGAAGAACCUUACCAGGUCUUGACAUCCCGAUGCCCGCUCUAGAGAUAGAGUUUUUCUUCGGAACAUCGGAGACAGGUGGUGCAUGGUCGUCGUCAGCUCGUGUCGUGAGAUGUUGGGUUAAGUCCCGCAACGAGCGCAACCCUUAUUGUUAGUUGCCAUCAUUAAGUUGGGCACUCUAGCGAGACUGCCGGUAAUAAACCGGAGGAAGGUGGGGAUGACGUCAAAUCAUCAUGCCCCUUAUGACCUGGGCUACACACGUGCUACAAUGGUUGGUACAACGAGUCGCAAGCCGGUGACGGCAAGCUAAUCUCUGAAAGCCAAUCUCAGUUCGGAUUGUAGGCUGCAACUCGCCUACAUGAAGUCGGAAUCGCUAGUAAUCGCGGAUCAGCACGCCGCGGUGAAUACGUUCCCGGGCCUUGUACACACCGCCCGU